RNAcentral lists this ribosomal RNA (781 nucleotides) under uncultured Neocallimastigales. RNAcentral's name for it is "partial large subunit ribosomal RNA". It matches the Rfam family "Eukaryotic large subunit ribosomal RNA", at positions 26 to 628 of the family's 3401-position model. The record is from RNAcentral. Lineage: Eukaryota; Fungi; Neocallimastigomycota; Neocallimastigomycetes; Neocallimastigales.
CGUCUAUAUACGUAUAGCAUAUCAAUAAGCGGAGGAAAAGAAACUAACUAGGAUUCCCUCAGUAACGGCGAGUGAAGCGGGAAGAGCUCAAAUUUGAAAUCUUCAAGGUUCUACCUUGACGAAUUGUAGUUUAAAGAAGUGUUUUCUGUUGGAGUUUUGGUAAAAGUUCUUUGGAAUAGGACAUCAUAGAGGGUGAGAAUCCCGUAUUUGACCAUUAUUUCCAACUUUGUGAUACACUUUCAAAGAGUCGGAUUGUUUGGGAAUGCAGUCCAAAAUGGGUGGUAAAUUUCAUCUAAAGCUAAAUAUUGGCGAGAGACCGAUAGCGAACAAGUACCGUGAGGGAAAGAUGAAAAGAACUUUGAAAAGAGAGUUAAACAGUACGUGAAAUUGUCAAAAGGGAAGCGUUUGACACCAGUGUUGUUUUCUCGAAAAUCAAUUAAAAAUGGACCGGAUUUUGUGUUGUAUUGACUUUAUCAGCUUUCUGCACUUUUUUCCUUAUCUUUUUUAAUGCACUUUUCGUUUAACAAGUCAACAUCAAUUUCUUUUGUUGUAAAAGAGGUCAUUGGAAGGUGGCUCUCUUUUCGGAGAAAGUGUUUAUAGCCUUUGGACUUCUGCAAUCGGAGAGAUUGAGGUCUGCAGCGUAGAUCCUUCGGGGUUAGAUAGCAUUUGUGCUAAGCUUAUAGCCUUUCAUAGACAACUUGUUGACUAUGAUCAGUCAUGUAGCUUACUCGCUUAUGUCUAUUUUACCUACGCUUAGGAUGUUGACGAUCAGCUGAGCGCG